This is a long non-coding RNA of Monopterus albus (swamp eel), 565 nucleotides long. RefSeq lists it as uncharacterized. The transcript is spliced from 4 exons. The record is from RefSeq and is a predicted model, not a curated record. Lineage: Eukaryota; Metazoa; Chordata; Actinopteri; Synbranchiformes; Synbranchidae.
UGCAGUCUCACAAUGAUGUCUUUAUAUUGGUGUCCAAUGGUACACAAGUGGCACUGAAGGCAGCCCCGCCAAGCCCUGUGACUGAGCCCCCUAGUCCAUCAGAACAGACCACUAACUCUGAUCCAGCUCCAGACCCGGGAGCUGCUGAACAACAGCAAGGACCAGACCAGAAGCCAGAGCCAGAACAAGAGCAGGGUAACCACUGGUUUGAUUUGAAUGAUUCCACGGUGACCUCCAUCAGGGAGUCUGACAUAGAGAAGCAGUUCCAGGGAAAAGAGAGCGCAUACAUGCUGUUCUACAGAAAAACACAGUUGUGCAGGCCCAGUGAAGCUCUGAACAAUCCCCAAUAAAGCUCCUUCUCACUUCAUCAAGAUGGUCGAGGAGGAGAAUAUCAAGCUGCAACAGAUGCGCGAGAAGUUUGAAGCCACCAAUAACACAGUGGAGCUGCGUCUGCACCUGGCACCUUGUUAUAGGUUAGAAAAUGGAUCCCUGCAGCAGGGAAGUGCUUGUUACGUUGUAUAGUAUUUGGGAUUUUGGCUUUAUAGACGUUGCUGCUUUAACUGAC